CUUUGCUUCUUUAAAACUUGCUCCACACAGUGUAGUCAAGCCGACUCUCCUUACCAGAACCAUUAAGCUGGUCCAGGCAAGUUGGACUCCACCUAAGAAAUAAGAGUGGUCUUAGAAUAGCCACAGAUGAGUGUUCACCCCCUGCCAAAACUAACAAAUGCCUUUAGUCAGUUAGAGCUAAUUAAGACCUUCAUGUUCAGUCAGCAUUUGCUUAUCAUCAUCCAGGCUGCAUUUACAAACUUUCUUAUUAAUCAUAACAAGACAAGAAUCCGCCAUUUAUUUAAUGCAUUCAGCACUAGGAGGUAACUAAAAAGCCAUUUGUGCCGUAGGAAGUUUGCCCAGUUACCUGCUUACUUGGAUACAGUUUCACUUACCAUUUCAACUUCCAGCUUUCUGUCUAAUGC
This 404-nucleotide long non-coding RNA is filed under the name Homo sapiens (human). RNAcentral's name for it is "non-protein coding lnc-ZBTB37-2:1". Lineage: Eukaryota; Metazoa; Chordata; Mammalia; Primates; Hominidae. The record is from RNAcentral.